Long non-coding RNA from Phyllostomus discolor (pale spear-nosed bat), 735 nucleotides. RefSeq lists it as uncharacterized. The record is from RefSeq and is a predicted model, not a curated record. The transcript is spliced from 6 exons. NCBI's taxonomy places the organism in Eukaryota, Metazoa, Chordata, Mammalia, Chiroptera, Phyllostomidae.
AAGAAUACAGUCUGAGGAGAAGGGAAGAAGAAUAACAUUACAGUGGACAAACUUGACAAACCCUACUUCAGCCCUCAAGGCCAACAGUCACAAAUGACCCGAGUGUUAUGUAUCUUUUAUGUGACAAAAGGGUCACUUUGCCUUUGUGAUCUUCUUUCCAAAAACCAUAACCCAAGUCGAAUCAUGAGAAAAAAAUUUUUUUAAACAACAACUUCAGUAGAAAGGCACCCUACAAAAUACCUCACCAGCACUCCUCCAAACUAUCAAGGUCAUCAAAAACAAGGAAAAGUUUAAAAAACUGUCACAGCUGAGAAGAGGCUAGGGAGACAUACAACUAAAUGUAGUAAGAUAUCAUGAAUGAGACCCUAGAGCAGAAAAAGGACAUUAGAUUAAAAAUAAAAAAGUAAGAAAAUCGGGAUAAACUAUGGACUUUAUUUAAUAAUAAAAUAUCAACAUUCAUUCAUUCAUUGUAACAAAUAUCACAAUUAAUGAGUAGUUUAGGGAUUCAUGUAAGGGUAGUCAAAUCAUACAGAGAAGGUAAAAAAUAUAUAGUGAUUAUCCAAAGGGAAGGGAGGAGGCUGUGAUCCUGUGAGCCACAUCAGUAUUCUCUGGGGUGCAUAUAAUGUUGUAUUUCCUAACCUGAAUGAGAGAUUAUUGGUUAUUACAACAGAUGUUGGUUUAGUAAUAUUCAUUAAGCUUUUUUAUGUUUAAAAGACUUUAUGUGUUCAUUCAGAG